Molecule: long non-coding RNA, 341 nt
Filed under: Brassica napus (rape)
Lineage: Eukaryota; Viridiplantae; Streptophyta; Magnoliopsida; Brassicales; Brassicaceae
Description: long non-coding RNA (BNAP_LNC012616)
Source: RNAcentral
UCUGAGACGCUGAGAGCAUGUUUAUUGCAUGUUUUUUAGUUUGAGGUUCUUAGCGUAAUAUAAGAUACGGUCUCUUAACUUUUAACUAAAAAAACUAAGUGAUUUCUCUUAUAUCUUUUAUUUAAGAGACGUCUCUUAGUGUUUUUAGUUAAAAUCUAAGAUACCGUAUUUUAUAUUACGCUAAAAACUCCAACCUAAGAGACCUGCAAUAAACAUGCUCUGAGUUGUUUCGAAGUAGCGGAACCAGGGCGAGUCUGGAGUUUCCAAGGACUUUCGCACGCAUAAGUUACUUGAAUAAUCAGUAUCUCACAAUGCAGAGCUACGUAGACUUUUGAACUUAU